GAGCUUGUUCGUUGAAAUUUUACAUCAGAUACGACAGUCCAAAGAACUAUAUAAUGCUGUACCGUAUCUCGCAUUUCUUGCAUCAACAAAGGUUGCAUCUUUUCCAGUUGUUUGUGUCAGGAAAAUUGAAACAGAAACAGCUAAGGUGGUGUAAUCUAAAGGAAUAAUAGUUGUGUAGAUGACGAGUAUCUCCCCAAAAAAUGGCCC
Molecule: long non-coding RNA, 207 nt
Filed under: Mytilus galloprovincialis (Mediterranean mussel)
Lineage: Eukaryota; Metazoa; Mollusca; Bivalvia; Mytilida; Mytilidae
Source: RNAcentral